UGGACGGCCCCCGCAUAGGUUGUAGGUUUGGCAGUUUGGCUGAUGAGGGUGAUGUUAAUUCAGUGGAAUCAUCAUCGCUUGGACUAGUAGUUUGCAGCACCUGAGUCAUAAAGGCGGUUGUAGGACGUUAUCCGUCAGAGGAAGAUGUCACUUACCUCUCAGUUUUGAAGUCAAGGCCUGCAGGACAGUUGAACUCUCUGCGUGUUACAUGCAAGUCUGUAUACACGAGUGAGUGAAUGAAGGAGGGAUGCACUGUUAAGGCAAGAUAGACAGAGAGAAAGACAUGCAGGCUCUGCGGAGGCGUUAGUGAUGGUUAACUUUUCGGUACGGCAGUCUUCUCUUGGUUCCUCUGAUCUUUUGAAGACUUUGUCAUUGUGAUCCUGGAAACGAGUGAGAAAAAACAUCAUACACCGUAGAGAGAGAGAGAGCGAGAAAAAACCUGUAUUGCUCCGACUCAGACCUCAGAGGCAGCUCUCAGUUUGACAAAGCGCCUGUCCUUGCCCCUACGUUUUUUUCACUCUCUCUUUCUUAUCC
RNAcentral lists this long non-coding RNA (534 nucleotides) under Sinocyclocheilus anshuiensis. Its description in RNAcentral is "lncRNA (ENSSANG00000027375.1)". The record is from RNAcentral. Lineage: Eukaryota; Metazoa; Chordata; Actinopteri; Cypriniformes; Cyprinidae.